AUUUGCACCUCCUCGGAUCAGGGAGGCCAUCUGGUGCGGGAGCACAAAUCCAACUACAGAAGAAGGGAAAGAACUUACUGACCCAAGAGUGUUGACUGAUGUUGGUGAUGUCCCUGUUCAAGAGAUCAGGGACUGUGGCGUAGAUGAUGAAAGAUUGAUGAAAGUUGUGAGCGAGUCUGUAAAGCUGGUGAUGGAAGAGGAUCCGCUACGCCCAUUGGUUUUAGGAGGCGACCACUCCAUAUCUUACCCUGUUGUCAGAGCAGUCUCUGAGAAGCUUGGGGGUCAAGUUGAUAUUCUUCAUCUAGAUGCCCAUCCUGAUAAUUAUGAUGCUUAUGAAGGAAACUAUUUUUCGCAUGCUUCUUCUUUUGCACGAAUUAUGGAAGGUGGUUAUGCCAGGCGGCUUUUGCAGGUUGGUAUAAGAU
RNAcentral lists this unclassified non-coding RNA (422 nucleotides) under Hevea brasiliensis (rubber tree). The record is from RNAcentral. Lineage: Eukaryota; Viridiplantae; Streptophyta; Magnoliopsida; Malpighiales; Euphorbiaceae.